This 305-nucleotide ribosomal RNA is filed under the name uncultured bacterium. RNAcentral's name for it is "bacterial SSU rRNA". It matches the Rfam family "Bacterial small subunit ribosomal RNA", at positions 335 to 657 of the family's 1533-position model. The record is from RNAcentral.
GAGCCUACGGGGGGCAGCAGUGGGGAAUAUUGCGCAAUGGGGGAAACCCUGAUGCAGCGACGCCGCGUGAGUGAAGAAGUAUUUCGGUAUGUAAAGCUCUGUAAGCAGGGAAGAAAAUGACGGUACCUGACCAAGAAGCCCCGGCUAACUACGUGCCAGCAGCCGCGGCAAUACGUAGGGGGCAAGCGUUAUCCGGAUUUACUGGGUGUAAAGGGAGCGUAGACGGCAGGGCAAGUCUGGAGUGAAAGGCGGGGGCUCAACACCCGGACUGCUCUGGAAACUGCCAUGCUGGAGUGCAGGUGAGG